RNAcentral lists this RNase P RNA (411 nucleotides) under Desulfacinum infernum. RNAcentral describes it as "RNase P RNA component class A". It matches the Rfam family "Bacterial RNase P class A". Rfam says of the family: Ribonuclease P (RNase P) is a ubiquitous endoribonuclease, found in archaea, bacteria and eukarya as well as chloroplasts and mitochondria. The record is from RNAcentral. Lineage: Bacteria; Pseudomonadati; Thermodesulfobacteriota; Syntrophobacteria; Syntrophobacterales; Syntrophobacteraceae.
GGAGGUGCCCACCCGAUCGCCGGUUCCGUUGAGGAACGGGAGGAAAGUCCGGGCUCCGCAGGGCAGGGUGCUGGGUAACGCCCAGUCUCGGUGACGAGCAGGACAGUGCCACAGAAAGCAAACCGCCGAGCACUCCCUUGGGGGUCGCUUCGCCCCGUGACGGCGCGACGGCGAAGGGAGUGCUCGGUAAGGGUGAAACGGUGAGGUAAGAGCUCACCAGUCCCGGUGGUGACACCGGGAGCUCGGCAAACCCCACCCGGAGCAAGGCCAAGUAGGGGAGCGUUUGAGGGUGGCCCGCCCGAAGCUCCCGGGUCGGCUGCUUGAGCCUCUCGGCAACGGGGGGCCUAGAGGAAUGAUCGGGACCUCCCUUUUCGGGGAGGCACAGAACCCGGCUUAUGGGCACCUCCACAU